GAUGAACGCUGGCGGCGUGCUUAACACAUGCAAGUCGAACGGAAAGGCCUCUGCUUGCAGGGGUACUCGAGUGGCGAACGGGUGAGUAACACGUGGGUGAUCUGCCCUGCACUUCGGGAUAAGUCUGGGAAACUGGGUCUAAUACCGGAUAGGACAAUGGUUUGGAUGCUGUUGUGGAAAGUUUUUCGGUGUGGGAUGAGCUCGCGGCCUAUCAGCUUGUUGGUGGGGUAAUGGCCUACCAAGGCGUCGACGGGUAGCCGGCCUGAGAGGGUGUACGGCCACAUUGGGACUGAGAUACGGCCCAGACUCCUACGGGAGGCAGCAGUGGGGAAUAUUGCACAAUGGGCGCAAGCCUGAUGCAGCGACGCCGCGUGGGGGAUGACGGCCUUCGGGUUGUAAACUCCUUUCGCUAGGGACGAAGCGUUUUUGUGACGGUACCUGGAGAAGAAGCACCGGCUAACUACGUG
RNAcentral lists this ribosomal RNA (467 nucleotides) under uncultured bacterium. Its description in RNAcentral is "partial 16S ribosomal RNA". It matches the Rfam family "Bacterial small subunit ribosomal RNA", at positions 28 to 507 of the family's 1533-position model. The record is from RNAcentral.